This 253-nucleotide ribosomal RNA is filed under the name uncultured bacterium. RNAcentral describes it as "partial 16S ribosomal RNA". It matches the Rfam family "Bacterial small subunit ribosomal RNA", at positions 524 to 776 of the family's 1533-position model. The record is from RNAcentral.
UACAGAGGGUGCAAGCGUUAAUCGGAAUUACUGGGCGUAAAGCGUGCGUAGACGGUUAUGUAAGUCAGAUGUGAAAGCCCAGGGCUCAACCUUGGAAUUGCAUUUGAGACUGCAUAGCUAGGGUGCGGAAGAGGGAAGCGGAAUUUCCGGUGUAGCGGUGAAAUGCGUAGAUAUCGGGAGGAACACCUGUGGCGAAAGCGGCUCACUGGACCACAACUGACGCUGAGGCGCGAAAGCUAGGGGAGCAAACAGG